GUAGAGUACAAGUGUCUUAGACCUUCAAGACUGUACAAUAAUGAAGAUUGCUGUUCUUUUUGUCAUUAGCUGCUUCAUUGCUACUGCUUAUAGCAACAGCAUAAGCAUCAGAGGGAUUCAAGAAGAGAAAGUGGUUGCUGAUGGCACAAAAACUCAAACAAGAUGCACAUGUACAAAAGAUAAAUGUACAUUAAGCGAUGGAUCCUACACAUGCACUGGAGAAGAUGUAUGUGACUGCAAUUCUGGACUUACUGACUACUGUAUAUGUACUGAGAAAUACUGUGCAGGAAAUAUUAUACUGGUCUGUGCGUCAAAUAAAGGAGCUUGUAAAUGCACUGUAUAACAAGCCACUGGGAAGCAAUUAAAAAUGGACACUAAUACAUGUACAUACAUGUACAUUAUUACUAAUUUAUUUCAAAACUUGGCUAUAUAUUUACAAUGGUAGUGUCAAUAUUAAUAGAUAUUGUAUCUAUAUUAUUUGAUUAUAAAACAAUUAAAAGUUGGGAGUUACCUUAAAGCCA
Molecule: long non-coding RNA, 521 nt
Organism: Amphimedon queenslandica
Lineage: Eukaryota; Metazoa; Porifera; Demospongiae; Haplosclerida; Niphatidae
Exons: 2
Source: RefSeq, a predicted model, not a curated record